GCCGCUAUAAUCCAAAAGUUGUACUUUAGAAAUUUAUAUUUAUUAAAUAAUUGUUAAAAAAGACAUGGAUUUAGUUACUGCAGUGUUACACUGAUGUGUAUAUUUAAAACCAUUACUAAUCAUGGGUCUCAUUAGUUAUGUUACGUUAUUAAAGGAGUUUCUUUUUAAAGUUUUAUUGAAGUAUAAUUGACAAAUGAAUACAUUAAUUAAAUGUUCACAAUGUGUAUACCUUAAAUGUAGAAUUUUUACUAAACAGCUUCUUAAUAUUCAAAAUGUUUUUUAAAAUGUACACACUGAUGUUUUCAGUCUAUUUUCACUCAAUAGGUAAUCAAGUCAGUAUUUUGGGGAUAAAGCUGCUCUUGUGGUUUUUUUAAAUUUUUUAAAUUUAUUUUUAUUUAUUUAUUUGACAGGCAGAGUUACAAGACAGAAGACAGUGAGAGAGAGAGAGAGAGAGGGAGAGAGACAGAGAGAAAGGUCUUCCUUCCGUUGGUUCACCCCCCCAAAUGGCUGCUACGGCCGGCGCUGUGCCGAUCCAAAGCCAGGAGCCAGGUGCUUCCUCCUGGUCUCCCAUGCAGGUACAGGGCCCAAGCACUUGGGUUGUUCCCCACUGCCUCCUGGGCCACAGCAGAGAGCUGGACUGGAAGAGGAGCAUCUGGGACAGAAUCCAGCGCCCAUAUGGGAUGCUGGCACCGCAGGUGGAGGAUUAACCAAGUGAGCCACGGUGCCGGCCCUGUCAUUCUGUAUUUAAAUACCAGUCAACAUGUACACAUGAUGCCCAGAGAAUCCUGUAACAGCUGCAACACAAACCAAAGCAAAUACAGGUGAAUACAUUCAUUCUUAGUGGUGCUUUACAUAUUUUGAUUUUUAGAAAAGCAGCUAUGGAACUGGCACUGUGACUUAGCAGGUAAGCUGCCAUCUGCAGUGCCAGCAUCCCAUAUGAGCACUGGUUUGAAUUCUGGCUACUCGGCUACUCCACUUAUGAUCCAGCACCUGCAUGGGAGACUAGAAGGAAGCACCUGGCUCCCGGCUUCCGGUCGGUGCAGCGCCGGCCGUAGCAGCCGUUUGGGGGCUGAACCAACGGAAGGAAGACCUUUCUCUCUGUCUCUCUCUCUCGCUGUCUAACUUUAUCUGUCAAAUAAAUUUUAAAAAAAUAAAUAAAUACAGAGUGAGAAUAACUUGUUUCUGACAAUUUAUAAGUAGACUGUUUCAUUAUAAGUAUGGUUAGUAAUAAGAAUGGCAUAAUUUGAGAGUAUGCUGAUUUCUUAUUGAAAGAGCUAGUGUUCUCAGUUAAAACUUGUAGAUAAGAAUGGUUCUUUGCAAAAAAUAGAGGAAAGGAAAAUCUAGAUCAGCUUUUAGGGCUGAAAUCAGGUGAGACCUUUGACAUUUUAGGCUUAAAUUAAAAAAAAAGAACUUUUUAAAAGAUUUAUUUAUUUGAAAGGCAGAGUGACAGAGUGGGGGAGAGACAGAAAAACACAUGGAGAGAAAGAGAAAGGAGGAGGAGAGAAAUAUUUAUCUACAGGUUUUUCACUUCCCAAAAGGCCACAAUAGCCAGAGCUGGGUUUGGCUGAAACUAGGAAUGAGAAACUCCAUCUGGGUCUUCCACGUGAGUGACCAGGGCACUCAGCCGCCUUCCCUGGCCCAUUAGCAGAAAGCUUGAUCAGAACUGGAGGAGCUGGGACUUGAAUUGGCACUCUGAUAUGGGAUGCGGGCACUCAUGACAGUGGUUUAAGUCUCUGGCCUUAAAGGGACCCUUCAAAUUUUCUUUUAAGAAGUAGUUUUUGUAGAAGGGAAGUGAAAUUUUUUUUUGCGCUAGUCUUCUUUGUGGAAUGAAACAUUGUUUAUCUGAUGGCUGUGUCCAGAUUCAAAUUCAGGAUGAAUGAAGGUGACUUCUGUGGUUAAAAGCCAACAUAUUAUCAUUUAGAAUUCUGCAGAUUUUCCCAGUGACCAAAAAGGGAUUCAGACAAUUCCUUUAUUCAUGUCAGCAGAGUAAAAUAUUGUUCAGCUCUUUUCUCAACCUAUAAAAUGAAUGAUUCAGAUAAAAUUUCUUUUUUUUUCUGUGACUUGGAUGCUUAUGUAAUCAAAUGAAUUAGAAGGUUGUCAAACCUCCCACUUCAUUGUGAGCUAUGUGUUUCACAAUUGAAAAAUAAAUGAUGACUCUGUUAAUCUCAGGAAUUUAUAAUUUGAUGGAUGUAAGUUUAUUUAAUAUCCUUUAACCACAUAAUUGUCAUUCUUAGUCACUUAACUUGAUUUGUGUUGAGAUGAAAUUACUAAUUUGAAAUUUGGUUAAUUUGAAAACAGCAUAAUUUAAAUAAGGCAUAAGUACUCUCAUUUUGGAGUAGUGUUCAUUACUUACACUGUUAUAUUAAACUUCUGUGAGAAAAGUAGAUAACAUGAUUCAAUUUCUGUGUUUCAUUCAUCAUGUUUUCCACAUAUAAUACUUUACUUUGCAAGUAUAAUUAAUUGUUCUUUAGGAACUAGACUUAUCUCAUAAUACUACUCUUUGAAGACAGAGGUCCUGCAUAGGAAGUUAGUGCACAGUGACUCCAGUUGUUAAUUUAACAAUUAACACUCUUAUGUAUGACAUCAGUGAUCACCCGAGGCUCUUGACAUGAGCUGUCUAGGCUAUGGAAGCCUUUUGAAUCUGCUAACUCCUUCAAUAUUUAAACAACGCCAUAAGCAAAGUGGAACUUCUCUCCUCCCUUCAGAGUGAAGUAGAUCCUUCUUUGAUGGCCACUUCUUUCCACUGGGGUCUCACCAUAGAGAUCCUUCAUGUAGGACACUUUUUGCCACAGUGUCUUGGCUUUCCAUGCCUGAAAUGCUUCUGUGAGCUUUUCAGCCAGACCAGGAUGUCUUAAGGGCUGAUUCUGAGGUCAGAGUGCUAUUUUAAGUGAUUAGACAGAGUAUUUAUUUUUAUAAACUUUAAUUCUUUUUCAUACUAUUUUUACUAUUAUCAGUGACACACCUAACAGUUGAUACUGUGGUUGAAAUCAGCUACAGUAACCUAGACAGAGUAUUUAUUUUUAGAUUACAGUAUCUGAUUUCAACCACAGUAUCAACUGUUGGGUGUGUCACUGAUAACAGUAAAAAUAGUGUGAAAAAGAAAGUCUACAAGUAAUAUUUUAAACAUAAAUUCUUGCAGAGGUUACUCUAAAACAGUGCUCCAUCCACCCCCCUACAAUUCUAUUUUCUUUCUUGAGAGGGAAACAGGAGUGCAGUUGCAAUCAGUACUCUAGGAACCUUAAAUUAAGUGUUGACCAGUAACCCGCAUGCACCCAGAGGGGGAUCUUCCUUGCCAUCCAUCAUGAUUGUCAUGCUGAAAGGUCAAGAAUAGCUAAGCAAAUCCACCUUGCAGCUAAACCUAUGUGAAGCUUUUCCUCCUACCUUAACUGAUUAGCUAAGAAAAAUAUAUUAGUAUACCUGGAAUCAUCAGAUGUUCUGAAACUCAGGAACAAAUCCUACGUUCUCACUGUCUUAUCAUCUGACUACAAUGCUCUUUACUAAAUGCAUUCCUGUCUUCAACUGAUUUUAGACAUGCACCAGCAACAAAAUCUCCAGGUGACACUUUAAUCAAAAAUAAAAGGAGAAAUGUUUAGUAGUUUGAGUAAAUGAGUAGUUAAUAAAUUCUGGUUUGGUACAUGUUUUGGAUUAUGCUGUUUCUGAAAUACCAAAUCAAGGUAAAAGGACAUUAAAUUACAACUGUAUUUAUGAAGAUUUAACAAAGCAAGCAGUGUUUUAAAUGAAUGUGCAAAGGUCAACUAAAACUCACUGUGUUUAAGGCUUUUAUCCCAACUUCAGAUCCUCUGAAACAAACUAAUUAAUUUAACCUUAAAAACAUUGCUCUGGGCCACUUUUUACUUCUGAAAUACAAGUCCCAAAUAGUAGGAUAUCAGCUUCGCAGUUCCCAAAAUACAAGUACUAAAUAGUAUUACAUUAGCCUCAAAAGUAAAUACUGUCAAAGAACUAAUUACAAUUUUGGCCAUUUUGUAAAUAUGAAUAGUAGUAUUUUAAAUCCCACAGCUUAGAAUUAUUUUGUGCUUCAUGCAUGUUAAGGAAAAAAAUACUUUAUGCUUCAUGCACGUGGAAGGAAAACAUAUUAAGGCUGUUUUUUUUCUUUUUAUGCAGUCAAUAAACUGUAUUAUAUCACUAUAUAUAACUGAUACAAAGAAUGGUCAACUGAUUUGUUAAAUUCUUUCUGUAACAAGAUAGAAUUAUAGAAUAAUUUAAAAUACAUAAAGGUUAUUUCCUUGACCUCUCUUUUUAAUUUGUACAUAUUGUUCUAGGACACUUUUUCAGGCAAAAUUUAACAUUCUCAAACACUUUUCAAUAAAGAUAAAUUAUGAGAGUUGCAGGCAUUAGGUGCUGCAGUUAAGCCACCACUUGGAUGCUCACAUCCCAUGUUCAAGUGUCGGGUUCCAAUCCCAGAUUUGCUUUCCAUUCCAGCUUUCUGCUGACAUGCGUUCUGAAAGGCAGUGGUGAUCCUUGAGAAGUUAGGUCCCUGCCACCUGUGUCAGCGACUCACUUAGUUCCAGGAUCCCAGCUUUAGCCUGGCCCUGCCUCAGCUGUUGUGGAUGGCAGAUCUUUCUCUCCAUCUCUCUCUCAGGUAAAUACAAAUAAAGAAUUAUUUUUAAAAAGAUGCAUUUUGGAUGUGACUUUGCGCAAAGAUAAAAUAUGAAAAUCUAUUUAGUAAUACAAAGGGCUGCUCAGAAGGUAGAAACAAAAUACAGUCACUAAUUCAUAUAGCUCAAGGGAAGGAGAUAGGAUCAUUCCUGAAUUAUUGGCUAUUAUGGAGGAAAUGCAGACUUCUUUUUCUUCUUAUGGAAUAUAUGAGAAGGUUUAAAAAUAUGUAGUUUUUUUUUUUUCAAGAGAUAAAAACAUAUUAAGUUCUUGGAAUGUUGCCAUAGAUAGCUGUGGUUCAAGUAGAGAAAGAUGUAUUUUCAAAUUUCAAGGAACAAAGAGUGUCUUUGUUUUGUUCCACUCUCUGUGGAAAUACUUUAAAACUGCCCUGAGGACCAAGUAGCAUCAGAUAAGUUGUGACGUCAUUCUCCUGUGUCCUCAGCUUGUGACCCAUCCCUGCAGUAUUCAGAUACAAAAUAGGUUCUAAUUGUCAAGGAGUUUACUUUUUCUGGAAUUCAUUGCAAUUGAAAAACAAAUUAUGAGUUUAUAGUAUGCUUUCUUUUUUUCUUUUUUCUUUCUUUUUUUUUUUUCUUGACAGUCAGAGUGGACAGUGAGAGAGAGAGAGACAGAGAGAAAGGUCUUCCUUUGCUGUUGGUUCACCCUCCAAUGGCCGCUGCGGCCGGUGUACCGCGCUGAUCUGAAGGCAGGAGCCAGAUGCUUCUCCUGGUCUCCCAUGGGGUGCAGGGCCCAAGCACUUGGGCCAUCCUCCACUGCACUCCCUGGCCACAGCAGAGAGCUGGCCUGGAAGAGGGGCAACCGGGACAGAAUCCAGUGCCCUGACCGGGACUAGAACCAGGUGUGGCGGCGCCGCAAGGCGGAGGAUUAGCCUGUUGAGCCGCAGUGCCGGCCUAUAGUAUGCUUUCAUUUCAUAAAGCUACACUUUCUACUGAUCCAAAUGAAAUCACUCAUGUAUUUAUCAUUCCAAGUGUUCAGCUUUUUCACAUCGUUAGAGGCAAUUUUGAUCCCUUUAGAAAUAUUUUACUAGUCUUUGUCCACCUCCCGAUUCCUGCUAUCACUGACCUGCUUCUGGUCCUGUUUACCUCUCCUUCAACAGUUGCCUCACUGGUUUGUUUAUUCCAUUCUCUCCUCUGCACAGUACAGGGGUGAUCUACAUAGGAUGCAGUUCUCCUGAUGUCGCCUCCUGCUAGAACCCUGCAGUGGCUUCCCACAACUGGCAGACAAAGACAAGUUCUAUUUAGGGCUGACUCCAGUCCUUGUGAGUGGCAGUGGCCAUUGUCCGUCUGCUCCACCCUCAGACUCUCAGCCUCACUCCAGCAUCCUUGAACUUCUUGCAGAGUCCUACCCUUCCAAGCCUUUGCCUUUCACCAUCCUGCCCUUUAGUGCACUUCUUUCUUCUACUCUAAUUUCUCCUUUAAGUCUCAGCUCCCAUGUCGCCUCCUCCAGACAUUGUCUGUGAGCCCAUGGCCAUAUCUCACUUACCACACUUUGAUGCUGUUUUUAAUAAUUAAAUGUCUGCUUUCUCCAGUAAAUUGUUAAUUUUUGAAGAACAAGAACAAUGUGAUACUACUCCAACAAAACCAGAAGAGCUGAAAAUAGCUAGUUAAACAUUUCUUUCAAAAUAUUUUAUUUGGCCUGAACCAAGGCUUAAAUUCUUGCAAAGAAGCAUUUGCAAAGAAUCAAGUUCGGGCUACAAAGCACUGGGUGCAGGUGGUUUAGAUAUAUCAAAUGUCAGCAUUUUCAGGUGUUUGUUCAUUUGAUCUGAUUUUUAAAACAUGUUUUCAUUUAUCCAAUUCUGUUUGUCAUGUGUGCUUUGAUUUUCAGCUAAGUUGCAAGAACGUACAUGGCUCUGUAAAGGAAGUAAUUACCCAAGAUGAGGACAUGUGAUACACUUUCUGUUCCUGUGAAAAUUGUAAAACUAUUCAUUCUAAGAUAUUUUUCUCUUAAAGUUUUUAAAAAUGGUCUAUUUCAGUAAAUGAUUUGCUUGUAGCUGCUUUUAGAUACUAAUAUUCUGUAGUAAUUUUUUUGUGUGCCUUAAAAAUAUGGCCAAACCACAUAUUCCCAUUAAAAUAAAUGUGAAUCCUAAAUUAGUUCUCUCUUAGUACUGAUAGCUACACAUAACAUAAGGUGUUAUGUACUUAACGUUGUUACCAGUCAUUUCUGUUCUCUGGCAAAGCUUAAUAAUUUUCAGAUAGCUUUUCAUGAUCAUAAUUGGGUCAUAGGAAAGAUAAUUACCUUUUUGAUGUAUUCAGUCAUAAAUAUUUAGAGAAAUAUUUCUCCUUAAUGAUAGUGGAAUCAUGUAAACUUCUAAAAAAGAUUGGUUUCUGAAACUGAAAAAGAUCAAACUGGAAUAUUUGUAAGCUCACUGUUUAAGUGUUUAAAUAAUAUAUCCACAACAUGUGUCUUUUUAUUAUGCCUUUGUGAAUUGUCCUGUUUUAUUCUCUUGAUUUCCCAAAAGUCACCUGGGGAAAGCCGUGAUGGGAUACAUGUAAGAGAGGAUAGUAUAUUUUUUUUAGACAACUGCAAUAAUGACUUUCUUUGCUUACUCCUAUAUGUUAGCAAUUUUGCCAAAAUAGAGUCACAUAGAAGGAUUUAUUCCCAUAUUAAUUACAUAAUUUGGGGGCUCCUUUGUAAUAAAAGGGGAUAAAAUAUGUUCUAAAAUUUUCCAAAUAUCUCAUUCUUACUUUUUAAAAAUAUUGUCUUGAUUUUUCUGAAAAUGGCUGUUGUUCAGUGAUUAAAAAGGUAUUUGCAGGCCAGCGCUAUGGCUCACUUGGCUAAUCCUCCGCCUGUGGUGCCGGCACCCCAGGUUCUAAUCCUGGUUUGGGCACCAGUUCUGUCCCGGUUCCUCUUCUUCCAGUUCAGCUCUCUGCUGUGGCCUGGGAAGGCAGUGGAGCAUGGCCCAAGUGCUUGGGCCCCUGCACCUGCAUGAGAGACCUGGAGAAAGCACCUGGCUCCUGGCUUCCAAUCGGCCUAGUUCUGGCCAUAGCGGCCAUUUGAGGGGUGAACCAACGGAAGGAAGACCUUUGGCUCUGUCACUGUCUAACUCUAUCUGUCAAAAAAAGAAAGAAAGUAAGAAAGAAAAAAGAAAAGAAAAGAUCCAGCUUCCUGCUAAUGGCCUGGGAAAGCAGUAGAGGAUGGCCCAAGUGCUUCGGCCCUGCACCCACGUGGGACACCUGGAAGAAGCUCCUGGUUCCUGGCCGUUGCAGCCUUCUAGGGAGUGAAUCAACAAUUGGAAGAUCUUUCUCUCUCUGUCUCUCCCUCUCUCUGUCUGUAACUCUGCCUCUCAAAUAGAUAAAUACAUCUUUUUAAAAAAUGGAUGCUUGAUCCUAUUCUAAAUCUCUUGAUUCACUGAUGCUACAUAGAAUAUAAUAGCUCUUUCUCUUUUUCUUUCUUUACCUCUCUGACCUUACUACAUUUAAAGGAUGAUUGUGAUGCUAUGGCAUUAAAAGAUAUCUAUAAAGUAAUUUCCAGUGAAGGUGCUGUAGUUCUAAGUUUUAUUACGUUGCCCUCAAUUCAGAAACAUAGGGACCCAACUUAGAUUGCCUUUUUUUUUUUUUUUUUUUGACAGGCAGAGUGGACAGUGAGAGAGAGAGAGACAGAGAGAAAGGACUUCCUUCCAUUGGUUCAUCCCCCAAAUGGCUUCUGCGGCCGGCGCACUGCGCCGAUCCCAAGGCAGGAGCCAGGUGCUUCCUCCUGGUCUCCCAUGCGGGUGCAGGGCCCAAGCACUUGGGCCAUCCUCCACUGCUCUCCUGGGCCACAGCAGAGAGCUAGACUGGAAGAGCAACUGGGACAGAACCGGCGCCCCAACCGGGACUAGAACCUAGGGUGCCAGUGCCGCAGGCGGAGGAUUAGCCAAGUGAGCCGCGGUGCUGGCCUAGAUUGCUUUUCAAGUACUUUCCAAUUUGAAUCUUUCAUGCUACCUUUUCUCCAAAUAAACUGACAUAAUCAUUGUUUCUGUUGUUUCUGAUGACUUCUUGUUUUUUUUCCUCUCUGUCUUUGCUCAGUUUAUUUCUAUCACUUGAUGUGCUUUCAUUACUUUUUGAGUUCAAAUCCCAUCCACAUCAAUUUCCUUAACUGCACAGUGAGAUGAUGACAUUCUUGGUACUUGUUUCCUAGGGUAUCCUAAAUAACCAUUUAUUUACUCCAGUCUAGAUGGCCCAAUUUUGAGGACAGAUAUCCUGGGUCAUUAGAAUUCACUGCAAGUCUGCUAGGCAUCAAUAAGGUUAAACCACUGAAACUAAAACUAAAAUAUAUCUUCAUGUUGGUUUCAUUUACUGCUUUUUUUAAUGUUUGAUAAGUAUGGUUAGGACAGACACACUUUGCCAAGCUACAAUAGCCUCUACAGAAUAAAAGUAAUACCAUUUAGUUCCUCGUGUAGAUUUUGUUAAGAAUAGGAAUGUUUGAGUAGGUGUAGACUGAGAUGUUGGAACAUUUUUUGUGCAAAUAUUCUUAAAAAUAUUCCUAGAGGCUUUACUGUGGGCUUUUUUUAUGUAAAGCAAAGCCAAUAAGAUAAAAGAAAAACUGUGAAAGUUAAUGUCUUCUAUAGGAUUUUAUGGUCAGUUAAGAAAUUUCAAAGAAAUUAUCAGACUUAAUUUUUAACAACAGGAAAAAUAUAUCAGAUUUUAUACUUUAAAUACUUAAAUCUAAAAGCUAGUUUUUACUAUUGGGACCAUACUAACUGGUACAAAUUCCCUGAAAUAAAUGAUCAAAGUAAGAAUUUUAGUGCAAGAUAUAAAAUUAUAUUCUAAUGGGUAUUCCUGUCUCACUUUUUUAAUUUUUUUUUUUAUUUUUUGACAGGCAGAGUGGACAGUGAGAGAGAGAGACAGAGAGAAAGGUCUUCCUUUGCCGUUGGUUCACCCUCCAAUGGCCGCCGCGGCCGGUGCACUGUGCUGAUCCGAUGGCAGGAGCCAGGAACCAGGUGCUUUUCCUGGUCUCCCAUGGGGUGCAGGGCCCAAGCACCUGGGCCAUCCUCCACUGCACUCCCUGGCCACAGCAGAGGGCUGGCCUGGAAGAAGGGCAACCGGGACAGAAUCCGGCGCCCCGACCGGGACUAGAACCCGGUGUGCCGGCGCUGCAAGGCGGAGGAUUAGCCUAGUGAGCCGCAGCGCCGGCCUAAACAGUGUUUCUAAUUCAGAAUAAUUAGCUCCUCUGAAGAUGGGAUUUGUUUGCAUAUUUGCAAAGCCACCUACUUUUAAAAGGUUUUAGCCUUUUCCUUUACUAAAUUUGAAAUUUGGAAUCUCAUUAAUUUUACUAUCUCACUAGACAAUCAGUGUUGAUAAAUACUGUUAUAAAUAUUUAGGCACAUGCUCUAAUUAAAUUAUUAUGUCAGUAUCAAUUUUUCUUAAUAAUCAGAGUAUUUUGUAAGUGAUCAUUUUUGCCUCAUUUGUAGCUGUUAUCCAGCUUUUGAUUAUAUGCAUGUGUUUAUACAUUUAAAAAGUCAUUAUUAUACUUUACAAUCUAGAUUUAGUUAGAAAUGAAAUAAAAUUUAUAUUUGUUAUUGAAAUGAACAGUAUUUAAAACAUUCAAAAAUAGCCCUUCAGAAAAAUUGUGGCCUUGAUAAAAUGCUUAAGGAUCAAUUUAUUUCAUAAUCUUUGAAUCUCCUGGAAUUUAAAUUAUACAUUAACCUGACAAUAGUUAAUUUAGAACAGAAUAUAAGCUAGAUACCAAUUAUAAUUUAAAUGUAUGUGUUGAAUGGUUCAGUAGAUACAUAACUUUAAUGAAAUCCAAGUCAGAAGCAUUUGCUUUCACUAGCUAUCCAGACCAAGUGGACAAGCAUCCAAGGUCCACAGCUGACAUCUGGCAUUUUUAUGCAAUCAUUCAACACAUUCAAGAGUCUUGCCCUGACCUGGCCUGUUACCCAAAUUUAGCUCCAAAACUGUAAUUUUUCCCCAUUUAAGAUUUAGAUUUUCCCAACCAAUUUUUUUUAAUCUUGAAAAUGUGUCCCCACCCUUGAUAACUCCCAUCAUCUGCUGUCCAACUGCUAGUCUAGGACCUUAUACUUUUGGAUAAGGUCAUAAUACCCCUUUGAGUUCAGCCACCAUUUUUAAGAAAUUCACCUCCUACUUAACCUUAUAUGAUCCCCCAUUGAUUUCCUGCCAUAGUUCUGGAGAAACUGCCUUCUUACAGCUCCUAAAGAAUUCUCUUCAUUCUUUGUUUGGUAUCUGUCAUGCUCAUUUCAGCCAAUUCUACUUUGGGGUUUUGUAGCCAAGUUCUGUGCACCACUUGAAAGGUAAUUUUCUCUUCCUAUGUUUUUUCAAAUACCCUUACCAGCUUCAGAGGCAUGCCAGUAUCAAUGUAGGACAUAUAGACUCAUCGAUAAUAGCUUCUAUUGUUACUUCAGUGAUACUGUCCCUUACCAUGGGCCCAGCUUUAGAAGAAGGAGCUCCAUUUAGCUUUCUCUUGAUCCCCGUAGAGGAUACAGAGACACACAUGAGGUGCUUAAUGAAUAAUCAUUAAUUCAGUAAAUUUUAAAGUUUACUGUGAAAAUUACAUGUCUUGAUCAUAGAGAGUUUUGGCCUUCAAAGGAAUAUAUGGAAAAAUCUAAAGACAUUUUUGGUCAACACAACCAGAAAGGAAAUCCUACUGACGUCUAAUGAAUAGAUGCCUUGGAUGCUACUAAACUACCUGCAAAACACAGGAAAGCACUGCAAUGAAUGAGUACUAAUGUCAAUGAAUGAGUACUAAUGUCAAUGAAUGAGUACUGCAAUGUCAAGAGUACCAAGGUUAAAUCUUGCUUAAAUAGAUGUUACAUUUGACUGAAAACAACCAACAAUCGUAUAUAUUUUCUCAGAAGAAAGAAUAUCUAGGGAUUCAAUCAUUGAACACAAAUACAUGUAAUCCCCCUCUUUCUUUCUACUAUGUCUGAUUAAAGUAAUACUCCAGAGAUAGCCAGGAGUGAUCUGAAAACUUAGUUCUUUAAAUGUUCACAUGGCUGCUCCACAAAACAAAGAUAAACUGAAUCUACACUGUAUUUAUCACAGUACUUUGAUUUUUUGGUUGCAACUAUGUUUAUUGACGCUAAAUGUACCUUUGAUUUUUUUGCUAUUCACCAGUCUUUACCUUUUAUUAUUCCUCUUGGGAUAAAGAUUUGCUUUGUUUUUGCCAAUGUAUUUUUUGAUACUUAUAUUUUAAUUACAAUUAAAUGAGAAAUCCUCAUCUAUAUUUUUCAAAUAGUUGCUCAAAUGGAGACCUUGUAUUUUGUUAGUAUUAAAAUCUGAAAUGGAAAGGAGUUAGGUUAGAGCAAAAUUUAGAAAAAAAAGUUGAAAUAUAAAAGGGAAGGUUCUUUUGGAUGGUAUUAAAGACAUGACAUUGUUUGGAGUUUUUCCUUAUUAAAAGAGAGAAAAAAGUGGGGCCGGCGCUGUGGUUCACUUGGCUAAUCCUCCAUCUGCGGUGCCAGAAUCCCAUAUGGGCACUGGGUUCUAAUCCCGGUUGCUCCUCUUCCAGUCCAGCUCUCUGCUGUGGCCCGGGAGGGCAGUGGAGGAUGGCCCAAGUGCUUUGACUCUGUACCCGCAUGGGAGACCAGGAGGAAGCCCCUGGCUCCUGGCUUCGGAUCGGCACAGCGCUGACUGAAGAGGCCAUUUUGGGGGGUGAACCAAUGGAAGGAAGACCUUUCUCUCUGUCUCUCUCUCACUGUCUAUAACUCUACCUGUAAAAUAAGUAAAAACAACAAAAAAAAGUCUUAAAGAGAAAAAAGUUACAUUUAGGGUUAUUGAAUGAGUAAUUUUUGUCAGAUUUUCCCCUAGAUGCAGAAAUGAAAAUAGCAAAUGAAAAGUGGCAAUCAGUGCAGUUCCCCUUUUGUAUCAUUCAUGCAUUUUUCUUAUUUUUAAAAAAUAUUUAUUUUAAAGGCAGAGUUAUAAAGACACACCCACCCACCCACACACCCACACACACCCACACACAAAGAGAGAGAGAGAGAGAGAGAGAGAGAAAGAAAGAGAGAGAGCUUCCUCUGUUACUUCACUCCCCAAAAACCACAACUUCUAAGACUGAGCUGGGCUGAAGACAGGAGCCAGGACUUCUUACAGGACUUACAAAUAGGUACAAGAGCCCAGUACUUGGGUGGGAAUGGAACAGUUAGAACUUGAGCUGGCACCUAAAUGGGAUGCUGGCAUCACAGGCAAUGUCAUAACCCACUAUGCCACAAUACCAGCCUCCCAUGUAUUUUUCAAUGAGUACUCUGAUUCCUAGCAUAUUUUGGAAAUAUUACAUAUGUAGUUUUUAUUGUUAUGCUUGAUUUUGACACCUUCCAAAAUAAUAAAUAGUCUAUUUAUAGUAUUGAUUAUCUUUCUUUUUUUUUAAGAUUCUUUAACAAUAACAUAGACAUAGAUAACUUACCCACUUUCUUAGUAAUGGUUUGGUGGCAGAAGUCUUUCUAACUGUGUGCUUUUAUUGCCUUGUUUUUAGGACAUUUAUUUCAAUCUAUAGAAAACACCCAGAUAAUUUGGUCUUGGAAUCUCAUUCAUUGGUGAACUCAAGACAUUCAAAUAAACACUAAUCGGGUUACACUUGGUCCUUGGAGAGGAAAUAUUUCUAGAAAUAAAAAUACUAUUAUUCUCUUUCUCCUAUAAUUUUCAUAGCACUCUGAUGGCAGUUUUAUGGCCCCUAACAGAGAUUUGGCCCAGAAAAGAGAUGCUUAAACUGAGGGUGUACCCCUGUUAAAUCAAAAUAAAUUGAGAAAUAGCUAGAACUAUAACAACUUCUCUUGAUGUCCUGAAAAUUGUUUCAAGAUGUUUUCUAUAAACUUUCACUACUUUUGCUUUUUUAAAAAAAUUUAUUCAUUCAGCAUAUAUUUACUAAGUAUAAUCCAUGUACCAAUGACUAGGUCUUGAGUGCUGGUGACUGGUGAGCAUACUGGUCAUUCUUCCUAUGCUACAGAGAUGACAGCAUCACUGAGAAAACAGAUAAGUAUCAAAUAACUAUGCCGUUAGUCCAUUCAAAAGAAUACAUAUUGAGUGCCCCCUAUGUUCUGGACCUCUAGUGCAUUUAAAGAACCCAUAGACUGAAUCCAUGAAGCUUAUAUGCUGGUGGACAAAUAGGACAGUAGACAAAUAAAUAGAUUUUAUCAUGGAGGGUGGUGCUAUCAAUAAAAAUGAAUGUCGAGGCAUGGAAAAUUUGGGCAUUGGGGAUAAUAUGUUUAAAGUCACAGUAAUCAGGGAAGGCCUCUCCAGGGGAAGAUAUUUGAACAGAGACCUGAAUGAAGAAAGAUCUCAUCCUGACAUGAAAACAGAAGUUUAGACAGCAAGUGCCUGACUUCUUAGAGGAUUAGCAAGAGAAAUGAAGUGAGUGAAGGGGAGAGCUAUAGGAAGUAAGAUCAGAGCAAUAGGAAGGGGCCAGAUCUUAGAAAAAAAGCUGGUUAUUUCAACCUAAAGAAAGUGCAUUAUAACAAAAUACAAGAUCUUAAGAGAAUAUGUAACUUAGAGCCCAAUCUGAGGAUUCAGGGUAGGAUUCCUUUAGGACCUGAAUUGCUCCUCUCCCCACAUCCUCAACCCCUCAUUGAAAAUUCACUUAAUUUCUGAUGUGGCUAUAUAUUUAGAUAAGGCCUUUAAAUAUAUAAUUGAAGUCCAGUAUGGUCAUAAGGAUGGGGCUCUAGUUGAGUAGGACCAGUGCCCUCCCAGUAAGCAAUGGAAGUGUCGUAAAAGAAAUGUGCAUAUGGAGGAAAGGCCAUGUGAGAUGCAGUGAGAAACAAGGUGGCCAUGUGCAAGCUAAGCAAAGAGGCCUGGAGAAACCAACGCUGCAACACUUGAUCUUGGUCUUUGAGCCUACAGAACCAAGGAAAUCAAUGUCUGCUGUUUAAGCAGUUUUUAAGUGUUUAUUUGUGUUUAUUUGAAAGGCAGAGUGUCAAAGAGAGAGAAAAAUUUUCCAUCUGCUGGUUCAUUCCACAAAUGCUCACAACAACCCAGGCUGUGCCAUGCCAGGGGCAGGAGCCAGAAACUCCAUGUGGGUCUCCCACAUCAGUGGCAGGGACCCAAGUAUGACAGCAAUCAUCUACUGUCUCCCGAAGUGUACAUUAGCCAGAAACUGGACCGAAAGCAGAGGUGGGACUGAAACCCACGCGCUCUGAUAUAGGAAGUAGGCAUCCUAAGUGGCAUUUUAAUCUACUGAGCUACUAUGCCAUCCCUGAGCAACUUUGAAAGCUUACAAAUUUUAUAAAAGUUUAGGCUUCUGGGCUAAAACUUUUUGUUUUCUUACUAAAAUACCCAGCCAUGGCAUUUGGUUACUGAGGUUAGCCGACUCACACAGCUUCUCUGAGGAGGUGAACUUUGGGCUGAAAUCCAAAGAAUGGCUAGGAGUUAAGCUCCUGGAGAGAAGAAUAGAGAUCAGCAUGGGCAAAGGAUGGAAAGCAUUUGGAAGGUUUGAGAAUCAAAGAGCACGGGUUGGCUGAAGUCAGAGUGCAAGCAUGAGAGCAGUGCAUGUGGAAUGAGAGAAGAGGAAGGAAGCCAAAUCAUUCCAGGUCUGCUGGGCUCUGUGAAGGGGUUUGGCCUUUAUCCCAAAUGGCUGGACAUGAUCAGAUCUGCGUUUUAAUACAUCAUCUGGCUAUGUAGAACUGGAGUAGGGAAAAAGUACAUCUCUUUAAUGAGCGGUAAAGCAACCUCCAGAGGGAUGGUGGCAGUGCAGUUUGAGAGAAUUCUUUGAUAUUUAUGAUGAAGUUGAUGGGAUUGGUCCUAUACUUCCGGGUCUUCUAGGAAGAAGGAAAUUUUCUAACUUAAAGUUGGUAUUCUUUUUUUAAUGAUUAUUUAUUUGAAAGGCAGAGUUAUUUACAGAGAGAAGGAGAGACAGAGAGGUCUUACAACCACUGUUUCACUCCCCAAAUGGCUACAAUGACCCAGGCUGGGCAAGGCUGAAGCCAGAAACCACGAGCCAGGAGCCAAAGAUUUCUUUGGGUCUCCCAAGUGGGUGCAGAGACCCAAGAACAGGCCAUCCUGUGCUGCUUUUACUGACAUAUUAGCAGGGAGUUGGAUAAGAAGUGGAGCAACUGGGACUUGAACCUGCGACCACAUGGGAUGCUGGCGCUGCAGACUGUGGCUUAACCUGCUGUGCCACAGCACUGGUCCCCAAAAUGCUAUUCUUGAGGUGGACAAUACUGGAGUCAAAAUGUUACGCCCUCUCUACCAGUACCAUUUGUUGAACUCUACCAGUACUCUUGUUGAACUUGAGAUGCUUCUGAAACUUCCAAGUGGAGAAUUAGUCAUUGGAUGAAUCUGGAGCACAGAGAACAGAUGGAUACAGGAGAUAUAAACUUGGAGGUCACUCGUGUGUAUGGUAGCUGAAACCUGCUACAGUGUCAGUUCUCCAUGAAUACAAAUUUUAUCUGUUUUUUAAUCUGUUGUAUCGCAAUAUGCAGAAGACAUUCAGCACAUACAAAUAUUUGUUAAAUGAUUGAACUAAACUACUUAGAGAUUUUAACAUGAAAGGAGUAUCAGGUCUGGAAUGAAAUCUGGUGGAAUGACAACAUUUAUUGGUAGGGAGAAGAUAAUGAGCUUACAGAGAAACCAACAAAGGAAUAGUCAGAGAGGAGAAGAAAUCCAUACAGUCUGAGGUUUGAGAAACCAACAAGAAGAUGUUUCAAAAAGACAAGAGAAUCCAUCUUUGGAGUGAGUGGCAUGCAGCAUCAAGCCUAGCACAACUUUGAAUCCCAUCACCUGGAUGGGCUUUAAAAAUAUUUGUCUGAGCCGGUGCUGCAGCUCAAUAGGCUAAUCCUCCGCCUGCAGCGCCAACACCCCGGGUUCUAGUCCCGGUUGGUGUGCCGGAUUCUGUCCUGGUUGCUUCUCUUCCAGUCCAGCUCUCUGCUGUGGCCCGGGAAGGCAGUGGAGGAUGGCCCAAGUGCUUGGGCCCUGCACCCGCAUGGAAGACCAGGAUAAGUACCUGGCUCCUGGCUUCGGAUCAGUGCGGUGUGCUGGCCGCAGCACACCGGCUGCAGUGGCCAUUGCAGGGUGAGCCAACGGAAAAGGAAGACCUUUCUCUCUGUCUCCUCUCUCACUGUCUACUCUGCCUGUCCGAAAAAAAAAAAAAAAAACUUGUCUGUUUUUCACUGUUGUCAAACUGAGACUCUGAGUGUUUGAUUACUUACAUGUAAUUCUACCUGACAUAAUAGCUUCUAGAACUACCAUUGAAAGCACAUCUCUGACACAUUCCCAGCAUGAGUUCAUCUAUACUUACAGAAUUAUUCUUCAUAUUAAAUUAUGACCAUACUGACAUUUGGGUAGAAGUAUAUUCAACUAAUAGAACCCCGGUAGCUUGCCUUGACAGGCUCAUUAGGAGUAUCCUCCACAGAUGAAAGUCCAGUGAGUUUUUGCUUUGCUGCAUAUUCCUGUUAGUUCUUACUGCACUUCCUUAUACUUUACAUAAUAAAGACUUUAUUAAGUUCAGGUAUAACCACAUGAUGAGUUCCAAUUAGGAUUUCAAUGAACGAUAGAAAAAAUUAUUCAACCACCUAUAUACAUUAUUUAAAAAAAACUGAAUAAAAGAAAAAUUACAUUUGGUAAAGAUUAUAGUGAAUUUCCAGGUUGGUGAGUAUCCUUUGUCUAGCUCUAGUUAUUUCAUACAGCUUCUUGUGCCUUGCAGCAGAGCUGAGAGCCCUUCUGGGGACUGUUGCUCACACUAAUGAACAUGGGUGUUUUAUAACUAAAUUGAGGUCACAGCUCUCCACUAGAGAUUAAGGAUAUUUACCAGAAAACCUUGCCAGUCCAUCUCAUCUGAAAAGCCUCUUCCUUGAGACAGAUAAUUCACUUGACUUUUACUUAUUAUCCACAAUGGAAAGAAUAAAAGUCAUCAAUUAGUCCUUAGUUUAAAUCUCAACUAUAGACUGUAAAUAUUUAGCUUAAGGAAUACAUUUUCUUCUCCCUCCCUGCCUUAUUUUUCUUCAACACAUUUUUUCAUAAUUGAGAUGUUAUUAUAUAUUACUUAUUUGGUUUUGAUUAGUUUUCCAUUGGAAGAUAAUCUUUGUGAGAACAGGAACACUUUCUCUCCGUUUACCAUAUCUCCAGACCCAAUACUACACCUGACAUAUUAUAUGUGCUCAGUAAUAUUUACAGAAUAAAUAGACUUAAAGUCCGAUGGCAGAAGGAAUACAUAAAACUAUUGGUGUGGGGGCUGAUAUUGUAGCACAACAGGUUAAGCCACCACCUGCAAGACUGGCAUCCCAUAUGAGCACUGGUUUGAAGCCCAGCUGCUCCGAUUCUCAUCUAGCUCCCUGCACUUGCGAAGGCAGCAGAAGAUGGCCCAUGUACUUGGGCCCCUGCGACCAAUGUGGGAGAUUUAAAUGAAUCUCCUGGCUCCUGGCUUCGGCCUGUUGUGGUCAUUUGGGGAGUGAACCAGUGGAUGGACGAUCUCUCUCUCUCUCUCUCUCUCUCUCUGUAACUCUGCUUUUCAAAAAAUAAAUAAAUCUUCCUAAAAUAGUGUUGGUUGAGUUUGUAAUUUAAUUGGAGAUGUGAUUUCUAACAUCAAGUCAUAUCUGUGAAACCUAAGCAAAUAUUUGGGUUUGCUGACAUCUCUAGUUGAUCUCUCCUAAGUUCCAGCCCUAUGUUAGAUGUUCCCCCUUGAAAGUUGAACAAUUAUUUUAAGUAAUUGUAUGUCAAAAAAGUCAGUAUUGGUACUGAAAAUCACCUCAACCCUCACACCUCCUACUCAUCAAAGAUUUUUUAUCUUUGAUGAAAAUAUCACCAUCAACCUGCUCUUUCAAGUUGUGAAAUUCUCCUUUAUUUUGGAUCUCCAGCCAAUCACCAAAUGCUAUCAAUUCUGCUUCUUCAAGGUCUUUUACAUCCAUCUCCCAAACCAUUUGCCUUCCUUUGUAAAAUGACUUCUUUUUCCUGCUAGCUCCAGUAACCUCUUAAGGAGUCCUUUAGUCUCUCUCUCUCUCUCUCUCUCUCUCUGUUAUGUGGGACACGGAUCAUUGUGUGUAUUCUUUUAUUUUUAAAAAUUUUUAUGUAUCUGUUUUUAGAACAAUUUUUAGCAUUUUGUGAUAUUCACAUCAUAUGUAACAUUAUAUAUAUGCGCAUACUGCUAUUUUUCUUGAAAGCGGGAAUAUUAGUAUCAUAUAACAUGGGAUUCAUGACAAAGAUCAUAAAGUGAAUGAAGUGUAUAUACUGAUUCUAUAACUCAGUGAAGACAACAUUUACAGCUGUAUACCAAACACAACAUCCACACCUUUUUUAUUCUUUAUAUAUAUAUAUAUAUAUUAAGUUGUCCAGUUGGUAUUCCAUAUUGUCAGCCAAGAUUUGUUAAAAUAGGAUAACAGCUUAUGUGGAAAUUAAUAAGCCAACAUUAGUUAACUUCUCCGCUUAAGGAAUAAAUACUCCAAUCCCAAAUGCGGCUUCUAGUCUUACAGAGGGGUAUGGAGAGUAGUGAAGAUAUGAUGCUGCAUUUCUCAGAAAUUCUCAGACAUUUAUUUUUUCAAAUUUUUAUUUUUUAAAAGAUUUAUUUAUUAUUUUGUGAGGCAGAUCUACAGACAGAGGGAGAGAGUGAGAAAGAGAGGUCUUCUAUCCUCAGGUUCAUUUCCCAAAUGUCUACAAUGGCUGGAGCUGCGCCAAUCCAAAGCCAGGAGCCAGGAGCUUCUUCCAGGUCUUUUACAUGGGUGCAGGGGCCCAAGGACCUGGGCCAUCUUCCACUGCUUUCCCAGGCCAUAACAGAGAGCUGGAUCAGAAGUGGAGCAGCCGGGUGUCGAACUGGUACUAUAUGGUAUGUAGGCGCCACAAACGGAGGCUUAGCCUACUCACCACAGCACCGGCCUCAAAUAGCAGAAUAAAAUGAGUUCCUUCAGAUGAUAUUCCAAGACUUUUACACAUGGACUUUUUUUUUUUUUAUCUUUCCAGCUUUAUAUCAAGCCAUUCACCAAAUCUUAAAUACAGAUGUUCUAGAUAGCUCCUAUGUUGUUUCCAGUGAGGUGUACACAUCAUCUUGGUGUGUGUCUUUUUUCAUCCCAUUCCCCUAACUGGAAAGAAUUUGCCUUUCCUCUUUCACACGUAAUGAAAUCCCUUUCAUUCCUACAAGCUUGACUCAAAUGUCAGUUCACCUAUGAGCUGCUAUCCCAGGCAGAAUUAAGCCUUUUCUCUUCACAUAUAAACUUCAUUUAUUACUCUGUAAGAGCACUUAAGCUGCUGUGGAAAAGAUUCUGAACUCUUUAGAGAUGUAUACUCUGAGUCCUCCUUGUUGUUGUUGUUGUUUGAGGUCUCUAAUUACAAAGUCUUAAUCUUUACCUAAUUACCUAUUUGAAGUAUCAAGUUCACACCAGCUAGUGUAUUUCCAAGGAGUUCCUGUCUUUCUCCCCAUAUACCCUGUAAAGUGCGAGCCACGAUUGUGCAAUGCAAUAUAGCUGCUGUGCUCUCUUUCUCCGAAGUUUUUUGUCUCUGAUCUGCAGCACUGGAAGAGCUUUAUAAAACCCAUUUGAUGGGAGCCCCUGCAUGUUCCUUGGAGAUCAAAAUGAAAAUGAAUCCUCUACUACCUGGGAAAAAAAGCCUUCAUAGCCCACCCCAUGUAAUACCUUGAAAUAGUUUGUUUUCCCUUCUUGCUCUGAUACAGCUCAGGAGCAGGUGCUGUUGUACUUUGUGCUUAAUGUUGUGGGUGACAAAAGGACAUGAAAAUAUUUUUUAUCCUAAGUAUGGAUAGUGGUUGCCUUGGGUAUUAUUCAGUAACUGCUGUGCUUUCACUAAUCAGCAUCAGAUUCAGAAUUUAAUUGUCAGCUGGUACAUGUCAGAAUUGCUUCGUAUUCUAGCUAAUUUCCAACAGGUUCUAAACAGUAGCUGCUAAUGUCGAGACAGUUCAAAAAUGGCAAAAACUUGAUUUCCCUUUAAUAUCUUGAGGAUCAUAUUCAUGGGCACCAGGGAGUCUGGCAAUAAAUCUAAUGGAUCUUUGCCAGCAUAUUUAGAAUAAACAAAUUAAUGCUAGCAACAGUUUUCUAACAGAAGAUAAUAAAGGAAAUGGGCAAACAAAUAAAUGCAAUGGAGAAGAAACAUGCAGUCUCUGUAAGCAGAUUGUUUUUGUGUUAAGUAGAUGGAACUUCUUAAAUGUAGGCAAGAUUUUUAAAUUACACAAUUUUGCUAAAUAACAUAGUAUUUGUCCCUAUCAUUAAGUGGUUAUCUUUCUGUUAAGGCCAAAAUUACAUUUAAAUGUGUUUUAUUACAAAGAAUCACUUUUCAGAUUAUUUACUAGUGAAUAUUUCUUUAAUUGGACUGAGGGGCUGGGAGAGUGAGUCAUCCCUAAGGUAGCCAGUUCCAGGCGGGUCACUGCAGGGUGAGAUUAACUCCUGUCCCUGUACCGGCUCUGAGAUCACGGAAGGACUCCUUGGGUGUUUGUACUGCACAGAAUGAUCACUACCUGAUGUAUUCCAUGUACAACCAAUCUCUCCUAACCUGUCCCAAACCCCUAGGCCAAAUCCUUUUGGGGUGGGUGUGGGGAGAUCUGACUGCACCUGGCAAACUUUGGCUGCUAAGCACAGUUGCAGAGCUGCGUAUGCUGUUUGUCCUUUGAGUAUUACAAAGCCUUUCUUUGUAUGUAAAUUUAGCAAAGGUCUUGAAAUAUAGAGUGAAAAUAGAGGAAUGAGCAUUUCCUGCCUGCCUUUGCACCGUAGUGAGAGUCCUUGGUUUCUCACUAUAGCAUAAAAAGAAUGGACAUGUAACUUACUCUGAAAUAUAGAUAUAUAAAUUUAAUUUUUAAAGAGAAAUCAUUUAUAAGAUGUCGCAAAAUAUACUUAACAUAUUUUUUUUACUGUGAUACUUUAAUAAUUAGAUAAUAAAUGCUAUGAAAUUCUAAUGGUAUUCUAAUAUUAACUAGGUUAUUAAAAAUAAUUAUUGCACAAACUUUGAAUAUUCUAACCUCAAGCUUUCACUUAUGUUAAGAAGUCUUACAUCUAAAUAAAAUAAUUUUGUCCAUUAUAUAUCUAAAUUGAAAAAUUUGAUGUUUAUAGUAUAGUUACCUUUCUAUUGUAUGUAAAAUUGAAAAAUGUAUUUGUGAUCAUAAUUGAACACCUAUUUCAAGGCAAUAAGAACUUUUACAUUUUGUCAAGGAUGAUAAAUUAGAUAGAAUAUUUUCUCAUAAAACUAGAAUCUGAAUCCAGAAACAUAUUUGCAUAUAGUACAGACAAAACAAUAGAUUUCAUGUUUAUUUUAAUUUUGAAAAAAUAGAUAUAUCAUUUAUAGUUCAUAAAAUGUUCAACAGAUUAAAAGAUUAGAUUAGAUUAACAGAUUAGAAGUUAGUGAAUGAGGGGCAGGUAUUUGAAACAGCUGUUAAGAUAUUGCUUGGAGCCGGCGCCGUGGCUCACUAGGCUAAUCCUCCGCCUAGCGGCGCCGGCACACCGGGUUCUAGUCCCGGUCGGGGCGCCGGAUUCUGUCCCGGUUGCCCUUCUUCCAGGCCAGCUCUCUGCUGUGGCCAGGGAGUGCAGUGGAGGAUGGCCCAGGUGCUUGGGCCCUGCACCCCAUGGGAGACCAGGAAAAGCACCUGGCUCCUGGCUCCUGCCACCGGAUCAGCGCAGUGUGCCGGCCGCAGCGCGCCUCCGCGGCGGCCAUUGGAGGGUGAACCAAUGGCAAAGGAAGACCUUUCUCUCUGUCUCUCUCUCUCUCUCACUGUCCACUCUGCCUGUCACAAAAAAAAAAAAAAAAAAAAAAAAAAAAAAAAAAAAAAAAAAGAUAUUGCUUGGUACACUCACAUCCUAUAUCAGAGUGCCUGGUUCAGGUCCCUGUUACUCUGCUUCCAAUCUAGCUUCCUGCUAAUGCGUACUAGGAAAGGCAGCAGAAGAUGGCUCAAGUACUGAGGUCCUGUGUCUCCCACUGGAGAGACUUGGAUUUAAUUCUGAGAUCCUGGUUUCACCUGGCUCAGGCCUCACUGUUAUUGGGCAUUUGGGUAGUGAACCAGUGGAUGAAAGAUCUUUUUGUUUGUCUUUGCCUUUCAAAUAAAGUGAAAAAUUAAAAUUAAAAUUAAAAAAGAAGGUAGCUAAUGAGCUCUUCAUAAUUUUCUCAAAACUUUCAUGUUCUUCAAAUUUAUACCCUUUUUGAUCUUUUAUUGAAUGAAAAUGAUGUUUAUAACAGAUGGUACCUAUUUAAAAAUAUUAGGUUACCAUACUUAAAAUAACUCAUAACAAUAACUAUGAAUUUCAUCUAAUAAAGGAAAUGUCUUUUCUAAAGAACACCUAAAUUACAUUAAAACAUCAAGAAGACUUAUUAUCUGGGGUGUGAUAAAAACAAAUAAGAGAGCAAACUAUAUAUGUCUAUUAGGUAGAAAGACUAGGGCUUAAAGGAAAUUAUAUAAAGAAUUAGCUGUGGGGAAAGUUACAAACUGAAUGUGAAAAAAAAGCAGAUCAGAUCAAAUCAAAUUGUUCCUUUUUCAGAUACAUUGUAUCUAUUUGUAGAUUAUUUUUGAAUCUAUUAUUAACAAAGUUUCACUUCUAAAUGAAUAAUUUUGAAGGGUUUUCAGCAAUGUCCAAUGUGGGAUUUACCUUAGAAAUAAUAAUAAAUUGGUAAAAAAAAAUCCUUUUAGAAUGUAUCUUUAAGGAGUAAGUGUAAAACAUUGACAGCCAAGAACAUCUGCAUUUAAAUUAGACAAUGGGAGUUGAUAAUAAGCUGAUAAACUUUCCAGUUACUCCAGUGAUAUUGCUGUUGUUUAGAGAUAUUAUACAGCUCUUGUUUAGAAUUUACUUUUAAAAGCUAGUUAUGAAUCACAUAAAAAUUUUCUCAUAUUCUAUUUCCAUCUCAUUCUUAACCAAAUGUUAUGACUCACCUUGAUUAUUUAUAUUGUAUAUGUAUUUUUCAUAGUCCUCCCUCCCCAAAUAAAAUUCACCUUUCGAGUAUAUUUAAAAGAAUGGAAUACAGUUCUGAAGGAAAUUAAAAGGUGAUUUUGAUGUAUUUAAGUAGCUGUUCGUGACAGUAAACCUGUAAAUCACAAAAUCACUGUUUUGAAAAAUAAAAAGUGAUUCUUUGAAUGUGUAAGAUUUAGUAUUCUUAAGUGUAGUCCUGUUUCCUUUCACUUUCAUGUGAUUGAACUACUAUAAUAUCAUGAAAAAAUUAUUCUCACCAUCCAGGGUUUUGUUUAAGGUCAUUUGAUUAGUUGAAUAUUUAUUUGGCUUUUGCAGGAACAAAAGCAAUUGGAAGGGAUUAAUGCUGUGGCUUAGUGGGUGAGGGGUGCUGCUGGCAACCCCCGGCAGCCAGUGCAUGUGCCAGUUUGAGUCCUAGCUGCCCUACUUCUGACGUAGCUCUAUGCUGGUGGCCUGGGAAAGGCAGCUGAGGAUGACCUGGUGUUUGGGUCCCUGCUGCCCCCAUCAGGGAUAUGGAUGAGGCUCUUGGCUCCUGGCUUCAGCCUGGCUGAGCCCUGGCCUUUGUGGCCACCUGGGGUGUAGACCAGAGCAUGGAAGCUCAUUCACUGUCUGUCUCUCCUACUUUCUUUCUCCUUCCCUCUGUUCCUCUUUCUGUAACUUUGACUUUCAAAUAGAUAAAUAAAUCUUAAAAAAAAAAAAAAAAGCAGUGAGUGAAACCUUGCUUGAAAAGAGCCUUUCUGGGUAGGCUCUUUGUGCAGCUGGUAAGAGGCACGUUAAGGGGUUGGUGCUGUGUGGCAUAGCAGGUAAAACCACCAUCUGCAGUGCUGGCAUCCCAUGUGGGUGCCAGCUUGAGUCCCGCAGCUCUACUUCUGAUCCAGCUCUCUGCUAGUAGCCUGGGAAGGCAGUAGAAGAUGGCUUAAGCCCUUGGGCCCCUGCACCUGCAUGGGAGACCUGGAAGAAGCUCCUGGAUCCUGGCUUCAGAUCAGUGCAGCUCUGGCUGUUGUGUCCAUCUGGGGAGUGAACCAGCAGGUAGAAGAUCUCUCUCUCUCUCUCUCUCUCUCUCUCUCUCUCUCUCUCUCUCUCUCCUCCCUCCCUCUCUCUCUGUAACUCUGCCUUUCAAAUAAAUAAAUGAAUAUUUUAAAAAAAGGCAUGUUAAUGCACACACAUCCCAUAUCAGAGUACCUGAGUUUGAAUCCUGACUCCACCCCUAAUUCCACCUUAUUCUUGGUGCCUACCCUGGGAGAUAGCAGAUGAUGGCUCAAGUAGUUGAGUCCCUGCCACCCACGAAGGAUACAUGGACUAAGUUUCUGGGUUUCUAGCUUCAUCCUGGCCUAGGGUGCCUGUUGAAUGUAUUUGAGGAGUGAACUAUUGGAUGGGAGAUCUCUCUAUCUAUCUUUGUCACUUUACAUUUAAAAUUUUUAAAAAUGACAGGUAAGCAAAUAAGUUACCAAGUAAAUAAAAGGACUUCUCCAUGCUCUUUAAUUAAUUUCAAUAGAAGCUUUACUUUUUAAAAAUAUUUUUAUUUAUAUGAGAUGAACAAAUUUCAUGUAUUUCUUAUAUACAAAUUUGGAGUAUAGUGGUACUUCCCACCCUACCCUCCAUCCCCCGCCAUGCUCCCACCCUCCCUCCUGCUUCCUGUCUUAUUUUGCAUUUUCAUUUUUACAAUAACACUUUCAGAUUAUUUUAUAAUCGUAAGUUUAAAACCCUCAACUAAGUGAAGAAUUCAACAAAUAAGAAGAAGAAGAAGGAAAAAAAACACUGUUCCUCAACAGUAGAAACAAGGGCUGUAAACAGUAGUCAAAUCUCAGAAUGUCAAUUUUGCUCAUAUACAUUGCAUUUGUUUUGUAUCUUAUUAGUUACCUCUGAUGAGGGAAGGCAUGAUAUUUGCCUUUUUUGGGGACUGGCUUAUUUCACUAAGAAUAAUUGUUUCCAGUUGCAUCCAUUUUGUUGCAAAAGACGGGAUUUCAUUCUUUUUUUAUGGCUGGGUAGUAUUCCAUCAUGUAUAUAUACCACAAUUUCUUUAUCCAGUCAUUAGUUGAUGGAUUUCUGGGUCGAUUCCAACUUAGCUAUUACAAGAAGUCUUUGCCUAUGCCAAUGUCUCUCAGAGUUUCCCCAAUGUUCUCCUCUAGUAAUUUGGUGGUAUCAGGUCAUAGAUUUAGAUCCUUGAUCCAUUGUGAGUUGAUUUUUGUAUAAAGUAUGAGAUAGAGGUCUUGUUUCAUACUUCUUCAUGUGGAGAUGCAGUUUUCCCAGCACCAUUUGUUGAAGAGACUGUCCUUUCUCCAGGGAUAGAUUUUAGCUUGUGUGUCCAAGAUUAGUUGAUUACAGAUACUUGGAUUGAUCUUUGGAGUUUCUGUUCUGUUCCGUUGGUCUACAUGUCUGUUUUUGUGCCAGUACUUGGCUGUUUUGAUUUUAACUGCCCUGAAGUAAUUCUUGAAGUCUAGUAUUGUGAUUCCUCCAGCUUUGUUUUUGUUUAAGAUUGCUUUAGGGUCUCUAGCAAACAGGGGUAAUUUGUUUUCUUUCUUUACAAUUUGUAUCCCUUUUAUUUCUUUUCCUUGCCUAAUAGCUCUGGCUAAAACUUCCAGGACUAUAUCCAAUAGCAGUGGUGAGAGUGGACAUCCUUGUGUGGUUCUGGAUCUUAAUGGAAAUGUUUCCAGCUUUUUUGGGUUCAGUAUGAUGCUGGCUGUGGGUUUGUCAUCUGUUACUUUGGUUGUGUUAAGAAAUGGUUCUUCUGUACCCACUUUGCUUACGGUUUUCAUCAUGAAAGAUGUUGUAUUUUAUCAAAUGCUUUCUCUGCAUUUAUUGAGAUAAUCAUAUGGUUUUUUCUUUAAUUUGUUAAUGUGAUAUAUCACAUUUAGAAGCUUUGCUUUUUACUACUUAAUCUUGGGUACCACAUUUUGUAAACAUUAGGUCAAUUGGUGCAGGUUAAAUUUAUUUUCAUGUAUUUAUCACAUGGACAAGACCAUGUUUCGAUCAGUGGUGGAUGACUGUACAAAAGUUCUUCAAAAGAAUACAUGGAAAGUGAAUAUUAUGAAAAACUUAUGCAUGGAUUUUUUUGUUGCAAAAAUAUUUUGCAUCAAAAUAAACGUAGUCUUUAGUUCCAUUUUUCUACAAAGUAUUUGAAGUAAUUUUGUGUCUAGUGUUUUUUGACUUUUAUUUAUUUUUAUUGGCAUCUCAUAUUAGUAUGAUUUAUUUGUUACAACUAAUGAACACUCAAAUUUCCCUAUUUUUUUAAAUCCAAGCUCCCUCAAUCCCUCCCACCCCUUUUAUCCUCACUAUUCUGUGUUCAAAUGAGUUGUUUGGUUUUAUUUUUGUUUUAGCUCUCACAUGUGAGGGUUAGAGUAUAGUAUUUGUCUUUCUGUGCCUAGCUUAUUUAACUUAAUAUGAUGUCCUCCAAUUUUAUCCAUUUUGCUACAAAUGACAAUGUUUCAUUCUUCUUUAUUACUGAAUUGUAUUCCAUUGUGCAUAUAUACAUCAUAUUUUCUUUAUUUGUUCUUCUGAUGGGCUAUUUCGAAAAGACAGAAAAUAUGAAAUAUUGAUGUGGAUGUGAAGAAAGAACUCUCAUACACUCUUGGUGGAAAUGUAAAUGGGUACAUCCACUAUGGAAAAUAGUGUUUCAUUUCCAUAUUUUGAUUGGAUGUUGAAUGUCAGAUACUCACUCUGUUAUGUUUAGAUUUCCUGGCAUUUGACUGAAUAGUUCAACUUUGGUGAGACAGAGAGAAAUUGUGUUUUUAGAAAAGUAACCAUUAGAGAAUAGAUUACAGGGAUACUUACUCAUAAAGUGAUGUCUGAACCUCUUAUUCCAUUUUAGUCAGUUUUCCCUGUGUCAUCUCAAAGACACUAUUUAAAUUCAUUUAUGUAUUUGAUUAGUACAAUAUUUAUUAAACACCUACUAUAUUCCAAAUAAUUUUCUAGGGAUGACGGAAAUAGCUAUACAAAACAAUUUUCCCAUUGAGUUUGCAUUCUGGUGGGAGAUAUGAUAAUGAUUCUUGAAGAUACUGUAAUUUAUUUGUGAGUGUUGUUUCUGUGUAUUGACAAAAUAUGAAUGAUGAUCCCAGUGUAGUAGAACCUCAUUGGCAUAAUUUGAUGAACUUCAUAAACUGUUUCACAGCAGAGGGUACCUGUUACUCAGUUUGAGCAAAUUCAGACAAUUUGAAUGUCUAACAACCAGUGUAUUUUCAGUGUUGUUAUUUAUAGUGGAUUUAAAGAAUGGCUGAACACCUUAGAUUUCCCAGUAGUUACCAUAAAAUGUAUCACAGGGGAACAAGUUUGGGUGUUAUAUGCUUUUAGGAAAUAAUGCAUGUGAGGAACCAGUACAGGAACAAUAAUUUUGGCAUAAUGUUUAACAAAGGCUACAGGCUUUAGUACUCCGUUAUCUGCACAUUUAAAGGGAGAUAGGAAGCAUCAACUAAGUCAUUAGUUGGUAUUCCCUUGCUGUGAGACUACCUCUACAUUUUUACCAUCCUUCUACAGCACAGAGAUAAAAAUUGAGUGAAUAUUAUCUGUGUGUGUGCUCAUGAAUGAGAUUCUACAAAAGCAUGAAAAAUAUUCUUACCAUUAAGGAGGCAUUGGCAAAAAUUCCUUUAUUUCUUCAAGGCCAUUUGUUUAGCAGCAUAUUGACCCGGCUUUCACAAUACAGUAGUAUCAACAGUAGUUGGAAUCCUGCCUUAGAGGCUUCCCCAGUGUGACCUCACAUGACUCUGUCCCAAUCAGAUGUCACACUGCCAGUCACCAGCUACAUACCUCUAACAGGGCAAGGACUGUGACGUAUAUAUGCAUCUCUUUCACCUUCCACAGCCGCCCUCAAGCAUACAAUAGUGCCUCAUGCAUGGAGCACCCUUAUGUUUUUACGAAUUGACUGGCAAAGAGCUGUAAAGAGCCUUUUCUUCCUUGCCUUCUAUUGUUAACAAUUUUCCUUGAGUGACUCUCCUGAGAAACAGAUUGCCCUGGCAGCCAGCACCUACAUUUUCUCCAGUAGGUAUCCACAAUCUUAUAAGAGAAUUCUGAUGUCUAAGAGGAUAUGAAUAGUUAAUUAUGUUACAAACGUAAGCCUCAUCCUUUCACUGGUCUGCAUGCUCUGCUUGCCAGUUUCCAUCAGCAGUUGGUGGCAUUAAGCAGCAGCUGCCUUCUCUUUAUCUUGCUUUUCACUUGGAGAUUUGGGAGCUAAGCCAGGUCUUGAGACUCUUCCCUUCUGCUCCUUCUUAUGGUCUUAUUUGAAAUCCUUUCAGUGAUUUGGGGUACCAAGAGAAGGAGGGACUUGAAAAACAAUGAUAGUUUCUCCUCACUCCCCAGUACAAGAUCUGUUUUCAGCCUGAUUUUGUAUGUUCUUGUGUUUCAUUAGUUGCUCUUUUGUGAUGAAAUUUGAAAUUGUUUUAGCUUUGUUUUCUAAAAAUAACUCCAAAAACUGUUACAAACAUGGGUAUUAAGUGUAGUCAAUGAAAAAAAAAACAUGCUAAAGAAUUGGAGAAGGGUAUUUGUUCAACCUCCAUUCAUUCAUUCAUUCAUUUAUUCAAUAACUAGUGACUGAACAUCUCCAUUUGUCAGGAUCUCUGGGGCACAAAAUGAUGAACAAGACAUAAUUCUACUUCCUUAGAACAUGCAGUUUAGAUGGGAAAUUGUAAUCUUUCCCUGAGCAACAGAAACCUGAACUCAGAUGUUUAGACGUGUACAAUGCCACAUUUCCAGACAGGAAAGUAUUCUGUCUUCGCUGUGAGAAGUUAUUUUGGAAGACUAAUACAGUAUACAUUGAGGGAAGAGUUAGAAGCAGAGAUCUCUCCAGACACAUUCUAUCUUCCACUUCCAAAAACACCUCCCCCCUUUCAUGGGUUCCUCUGAGUGUUUCCUAAACUUCACUAAAUAAUGAUAAAACAACAGAAAAAUUCAUUAACCAAAGUUCAUCUCUAUGAAAGUAAUACUGCAUUCAGUUCUCAAAGCAAUGAGAUGCUGUAGAUAUUUUACUGAUGAGAAUUCUAGGCACUAAAUGCCCAUGCCAAGGAAGAGCUCAAAGCCAGGUCUAUGUGACUGCAGAACCAUGCGCUUUGAAAGUCUUAACUUUGGAGCCUGCUGCUUAGAGACUCUUCUCUCUGAAGGUCACAUCUCACCUUGGCAGUUACGACCCAGUGGACCCUCUUAUGUCCUCUCUGUUAACUCCCUUCCUUCUUCAGACAAUCCUCAAGGAUUGAAAAAUGCAGUGUUACUUCCUGACAGCAACCCCUAGAUCUCUAGACCUCUCCAAGGCACUCACUCAAAGAUUGACAGCCCAGACUUUGAGCCCCAUGGCUUAAUACCAUAGAACCGGGGAUUUGCAAGAGUCUCUUAUUUUUCUUCAUUCAUUCUCUUCCUUCCUAUGUCUGGUAUGUAAAAUAAACUCUGGUAGUGACUCAGAAAUGUUGAGUCAAGGUUAAAAACGUGAUUCAAAGCCACAUCUGUUCAGCGCUCAACACAGUGAUCAUUAUUCUAGCAUUUGGCCUCUGGAGUGUCCUGUUUCCCAUCAUGAGAGACAUCAGAAGUUGUGCAUUCGAGUCACUGUGUUAGUUUUUUACAAUUUUAUUAUCUUUUCCAUUGCUUUUUUUCUGUUAUAAGUGCAAGCUCACUUAACCUUCUGGUAGUUUUCUUGCUUUUUAAUCUACCAUGGAAUGAAUAAUUGGAUUUUAAAAUGUUUUUUCACACAACAUCUAAAUGAGACAUGACAAGAUUCUCAGAGAAGGAAUUCUCUAUGAAUUAAUUGCAUUAACUUAAGUUUCUGAAUCUACCAAAUAUAUUAUUGUUCCCCACCUUCUCAAAAACUUUUUGAUUGUCUAUGAACUAUAUCAUAUCAUUUGUGUUGCCAAGUCCUUGGAGUAAGUGAUUGGUGGAGAUAUUUGUUUUUCUCUCGUUCCCACAGAUUCUAGGAAAGAUUUAUGAUUUUCUUAAUUUCUUUCAUAUUUAUCCAUUUUCCAACCAAAGGAGUUACUGCUAUUGUGUAAAAUUCUUUUGAUAAGUAAACCAUUAGUAUGAAGUGAUAUGUGAUGUUUGAUGUGAUCUGUAAUUGCUAUAUUCAUAAAAAUCCCAGAAAUGUACAGUGAUAAGGAAUUUUAGAGAUUAGUUUGCUGGCCUUCUUAUUUUCAGAUUGAGAAAAUGCAGACCAUGGAGAUUAAAGGAUUUGUUCAAGGUCUCAGACAGAGUAGACCCAGAACCAGGAGAAAAUCCCAACCUCUGGAUCUUGGUCCAUUAUUUUCCUUCUCUCAACACAUAUUUCUUCUUAAAAAGAGUCAGGAGUAUGUAUUAAAUGGUUAUAGACUUCAUAUGUAAGUUUUACUGUAGAAUAGUUAGUUAGUCUUUUGUAGGUUAGUAUCCUGUGGAGGACACAGCAGCAAAGUAGAAAGUAUAUGACUUCAGAAGCCAGGAAGACAAUGACCCACAAUGAGUGCUGUCAUCUUCUAGCUACAUGAUAUGGGAAGAGCUAUUUAGUCCCUCUGAACUUCAGUGUGCUACUCUAUAAAAUGGAAAUAUAAUACUAAACAAGAAUAGUUUUUGACUUUGACAAAGGAAUUAAUAUGAAAAUAUAGUGCUUAAAACAAUGCAUUACAUAUGGUAAAAAUCCAGUAAAUAAGAUGUACAGUUCUCAGAUAUCUUUCUCUUUAUCAAAAACUGGUAGUUUUUCCUUAAUGUUUAAAAUGGUGACUUUUAUUAUGUUAUUAUUUUCUAUAUAUAAUGAAUCUUAUAAGUUGAAAUAUUUUCAUGUUUUUUUAAAUCUUGCAUGGAUUGGAAAAGAGGGAUGGUAGCUCUAUACGAAGACAUUUGAAGUAAUAGAUACCAUUGCCAACCAUUUCUCAAAGCAUGGUCUUUCACAUGCACAUCAAAUUCAUCUGUGGGGACUGCUUGAAAAGGAAGGUUCCUGGGAUCCAUGACAGACCUAGGAGGUGAAGAUCUCCAGCGACAAAGGAGUCUGUGAAUCUCUAUUGAAUAACAAAUUCAACAUAUGAUUUCUACCAUUAUAAUUCUUGAGACUCACUACUAUAGAUAAGUCAUUCUCAAUGUCAGAUCUCUUGAUCAAAAAUGCGAGUAUUGCUUUAAUCAUGCUGUUUUAUUUCCCUGUUUAAAAAAAAAAAAAAAAACUUCAGGAGCUCUCACUAAUCUUUAAUUUGACAACAGUCAUCUCCUGUCAGGCUGUGUGAACUCUCCUGUCCUUGCUGUUAUGGACAGAAAGUGUCCCCAGGAAGGUGUCCAUGUCUUAGUGCCCAGAAUUUGGGAAUAUGGUACCUCAUAUGACAAAGAGACUUUGCUUACUACUUACUUGAAGUAAGGCUCUUGAAACAGGGAGGCUACCCUGGAUCAUCCAGGUAGACCCAAUGUCAUCACAAGACAGGAGAACCAGAGUUAGUACAUGACAACAGAAGCUAGAGACUGGAGUGAUACCAGGAAGAAGUCCCGAGCCAAAGAAGACACACAACCUCUGUGAGCUGAAAAGGGAAAGAAGAAGAUGGCCCCCUCAGAACCUACAGAAGAAGCCAGCCCAACUGAUGCCAGACUUCAGCUGUGUGAGACCAACCUCCAGAACUUUGAGAUAAUAGGUCUGUGUUAUUUUAAGCUACUAAGUUUAAAGUGUCUUCUUACAGAAGCAACACAAAACGGGUACCUUUGUUUCUCCAAGUACAGACCUCAUCUUUCCAGAGCCUUGGUUCCUGUCUCACUGGUUCCUGCCUGCACCCUAGGCUGGCCUUGCCCCUUCUCACCUCUGACCGUGCUGCUUCCUUUUACUCUCCCUCUGUCCCUUAUUUCUACCAAUUUUCUGAUGUUCUCAACAAGAACUUUCUCCUAUUUGCCUAAAGGCCUCUUUUGACUCUCCCAGCCAAGAAUGAAGGCUAUCAGAAUUUGUGCAAUGUGUUGGGACUCUAUGAUAGAUUCUGUCCAAGACAGGGUAAGUGUAAGACCUCUCGAAUCAGAGUGGCUGAGUUUAAAUCCUGAUUCUGCCACAUUAUCUUGGAUGAGUUUUUUUUUUAACUCUCUUAUAUCUCAUUUUCUUUAUUUUUAUCAAUCUUUUUGGAGUUGGAGGUUUAGAGAUGCCCCAGGUUGAAGCAGAUUGGCACAGUGGCUGAAUAGAUUUAGGACUCCACCUGUGUGGGCAAUCAUAUGAAUUAUGAUUAGGUAUGUCUCUGUCACAAAGAGCUAUUUGUACCAUGUUAUUUGUAAUUUAAUGUGUCUGUAUUUCUGCUUCUCCAUUAAUUCCAUAAUAAUAGCCUGAUAAUAAUUAAGACAACAACAACAAUAUACUAACAAUAAUUAUGGCACAGUGGUAUAGCUAAAGGAGCUUCAGUUUUAGCAGACUUUUCUUUCAGUUCUGGCUUUACAAUUGACUGGUCAUUUAGAAAUAAAAAAUAAGCUUUUUAAUCUUUAAAAUGUGAAUACUAAUGGCAUUUACCUCUUAAAGUUGAUCUCAGAAUUAAAUAACAAAUUUAAAAUCUUAACAGGAUGCCUAUACAUAGUAGAAAUUCAGUACACAAUUAAACCAUUAUUAAUGAUUAUUGUUACUUAAUUUUCUUUUUACCUGUUCUUAUUCUGUUAAAAUAAAUCUUUUUAACCCCAUUACUUUGUGUGUGGCAAUAAUAUGAGAAAAGGGAGGAAGAAUAAUAGAUAUGCAGCUAAUAUUUAAUGUCAUGCUUUGCUUUCACAUAAAAGAUGUGAAUCCCACAGUUUUUUAGAAUUUUCUGUUAUAGCAAAGCUCACACCACAAAACAGUGUGGAAAACACAUAAAGCUGGCUUGCUUCCUUCUCUUUUUUCCCUUCUUCCUCUCUUCCUUCCUUCUCUUUCUUUCAUCUCAGGUAAUUGGGUGAAUAGUUUGGAUUUUUAAGUACUUUGAAUAUAUUGGAUUUUUGGGAAAAUUUUGGCCAAAAAAAUCUAUGACUCAAUACAUUGCCAUUCAUCAUCCCCUUGCCUUUACAACCCUUCAUGCUAUUUUAGUGCAGAUGAGAGCUCUCCUAUCACAGCUAAUUUGAAUUCAUUUUUCAAAUGAGCUUAUGAGUUACUAUGCUAAAAUUAAGGCCUAUUAUAUCUUCUGCACUUCCUUAGUCUGCUAAUAUUGUAAUAUGAUUUUUAAGUAAUUGAGUUUCUUUUGACAUGCUUUCUUAUUUAGAGACUCGGGCUUAUUGGCAAGUCUUUUAUCUCUAAAGAUGUUUAUAUAUUUUAUGUAGAUAUUUCUCCAUGGUUGGUUGUCUAAUUAUUUUAAAAAUACUUGGAAUUAAUUUUUACUUAGCAUAUAAAAUACCUCCAUAUGACCAAGGAAGAGUGAUAAAAUAGCAGUAGAAAAAUUUGUGGUAAUGACUACUUUUGCCAUCAGAAGUGAGAGGAAAAAUCAAGCUAAUUCCUAUUUUUUUUAAAGAAAAGAAUAUGUAUGCUUGAUUGUACUAAUGUAUUUGCCCCAGCAUUUGCCUCUUGGCAUCUAUUAUUUUUCAAGCAUAGAAAUAUUACCUCCUCUUUUUUCUUUUUUUCAAAGGAAGUUAUAAUUUAUAAAUAACUUGGAGGAUUAAACAUCCUGAAAGGUAACUGAGCAUUGCUCCCCUGAACUGUGGGAUAGUCUGUCCUUUGUGUGUUCUUCCUAGAAUACAAAAGGGGUAAGCACAAGGAUUGUAUCCUCUCCCUGGAAAGUUUGUGUAGUAACCCAGUGACUUAGAAAAUUGUCCAUUUUGCUUUGAGGAGACAUUCUCUGGACUCACACGCAUACCACAAGAGGAUUUAACGUGAGAAAUAGAGAAUUAACUUGACAAUGUGUAAAACAUUUGCUCUGUUGGGAAAUUUAUGCCCCAUUGUGUUCCCCCUCGGCCACCAUGCCUGAGAGCCAUGGCUGAGAAGUGAGAGUCAGUGCUGAGUGAAGCCCAUGCUGCUUUAUAGACUUGGUGAUGUUUGUUUUUACUCAUGAGUAAGCAGCAGCUCAUGCUUACACAAAAUGUCUGUCUGUGUUCCCUCACUGUGUGUCUCUGUCAAUUACAAAGAACUAUUUGAAGUCAGGUAGAAAAUACAUUGUUUAACUUAUCUGAGGCUUCAGUGCAAUAAUACAAAUUAUGGGGUCCCUUAUAAUACGGUUGCAUUAGAGAAGACAAACAAUAAAAAUGACUCAGUGUAAUGCUAAUAAGGUAUGGUCCAUCUGCAAUUAAAUUAGCAACAUAUCUUUAAAAAAAACUAUUUCAUAUAAACUCAAGACCAUUCAUCAGUUAUAAUUUUUACCUAUUUUUACCUAAGCAUUCACUUUUUGAAAAUCCCACAUUAAAGAAACAUGGAGUCUUUCCAAAAAGAUUUUUAAGUGCCGUAUCAAAUUACAAUGUAAUUUCUGACAAAAUGACAUUGAAUUAUACUAAAAUAUACAUAAAUUAUAUAUUCCUCAUUUUGGUAAACUCUUAACACACUUACUAAAGGUCAAAUGACAAUCAAAUUUUUUGUGUAUGCUUAAACAAGUUUCCCAAAAAGUGUCUGAUCAUAUUAAUUGCAGAAUUUUUUUGAGAAUGGCUACCUGAUUGAUUUAAAAAUAUUAGUAUUUGUGGGAGUAGUCAUCUAGCCUAUCAGCUAAGAGGUAUUACGAACAAAGUCUGGCUCAUGACUUCAGCUUUGUGCCAACAUAGAUUCUCGGAGGCAAUGAUAAAGACUCCUGUAAUUAGAUUCUGUCUAUCUCAUGAGAGACCUGGAUUACCUUCCUGGUUCCCAGCCCCAGACCACAGCCCAGCUCUGGCCUUUGUGAGCAUUUAAGGAGUGAAGUAGCAAAUGAUAGUGCCUUCUCUGUUAAUCUGUCUCUUCUCUUUCCUUCUCUUCCUCUAUCCCUUUCUUUCUUAAAAAAAUAAAUAAUAUGAAAGAAAAAAGAAGAAAAUUAAUAAAAACAGUAUGUGAUGGGGCAUGACUCUUGAAUUAGUAGGAAAAUAUAACUUUCAUAAGAAUUAUUUUUAAGGUAAGACUCAUAAGAAUUGAGAAUAUAAUGGUAGUUUUCACAGGCCUGGGAAGAGGGUAGAUAUGGAAAGGGAAGAGGCUGAUCAAAAGAUAAUUUUAGUUAGAUGAGAGGAAUAAGCUUUAGUGGUCUAUGGCAGAGAUUGGUGACUACAGUAGAUAACAGUGCACUGCACAUUUCAAAAUUGCUAGAAGGGUAGAUUUUAAAUGUUUUCACCCCAAAAUGGUAAGUAAGUGAAGUGAUGGAUGUGUUAAUUAGUUUGGGUUAAUCAUUCUACAGUGUAAUGCUAUGUCAAAACAACAUACUGUAUCCCAUAAAUAAAUAAAAAUAAUCACUGUAAAUAUUUAUUUAUUUUUAUUUAUUUGACAGGCAGAGUUAUAGACAAUGAGAGAGUGACAGAGAGAAAGGUCCUCCAUCCAAUGGUUCACCUCCCAAAUGGCCGCAAUGGCCGGAUCUAUGCCAAUCCAAAGCCAGGAGCCUGUUGCCUCCUCCUGGUCUCCCAUGCAGGUGCAGGGGCCCAAGCACUUGGGCCAUCCUCCACUGCUUUCCCAGGCCACAGCAGAGAGCUGGACUGGAAGAGGAGCAAACGGGAUUAGAACCCGGCGCCCAUAUGGGAUGCUGGCGCCGCAGGUGGAGGAUUAACCAAGUGAGCCACAGCGCUGGCCCUUACAAUGAUUAUUUAUCAAUUAGAAAUUUAAAGAGAAUUAUUUUAAUCAUUAAAUAUAGCAUAACCUAGUUAUUUUUAUUCUUAAUAGAUCCUAUAUUUUGGAUUAGAUAUUUAAAUUUUACAGUGAAAUACUCUAUAAAAUCACCCAUAUUUUUUUCAGACAUUUUAUUAUAUAACAAAAUGGAUACAUCAUAGUCUUUUCUUUUUUUAAAAGAUUGUUUUCAUUUAAUUGCUUGAAAGGCAGAGUUAUAGAGAAAGAGAGAGAGAGAGAGAGAAAAGGAGAGAGAGGGAGAGAUACAGGUAUCUUCCAUCUCUGGUUCUCUCCCUCAAUGGCUGCAUCAGCCAGAGCUGGGCCAGUCUAAUGCCAGCAGCUCCUUCCAGGUCUCACCUGUGGGUGAUGGUGUCCCAAGCACUUGGGAUAUCUUACACUGCUUUCACAGGCACAUUAAUAGGGAACUGUAUCGGAAGUGUCUCAGUGGGAUUCCAGCAAUGCAGGUGGUGGCUUAACCUGCUACACCACACUGCCAGCCCCAGUCUUUUAGUACAGUUUAAAAUGUCUUGUGGUGCCGAAUGAAUAAAUUCUUUGUGCAUAAAAAUUCUCAUCCCUAUGAUUUAAGAAAAUGUGAAAUUUUGUAAAGAAAAUUUAAUAAUAACAUGAUCCUUUAGUUAUAAGAGAAACCCAGGCACUUACAAGUACAUAUGAAAUCUGUCCUAUUAAUAUUACCAUGUUCUCACAAUAAAUGGGGUAUUUUCACUAAUUUUAAGUGAUCAAGAUAAACAGGGUUCCUUUUAAACUUCUUUGCCAAAGGUGACUGCCAGUGCAGAAGAGACAAAAGGGAAGAUUAGAAAAGGUGUUAAAUGGAGAAUAGAUUAUGGAAUUAUAUUGAAUAAGCACAUAGGAAAUCUAACUGUCUAUAAUGCUAGUUAUUCUAGUUAAAGAAAGGAAAGGAUAAUGAGGGGAAAAUGAAGGGAAAGGAUAUAAAAUGCAAAUACAAAGGCAGAUGAAACACUUCAAUUCCAAAGCAUGUUUAUUAAAGAGGGGCUGUUCAAAUCACUCUUAGUCAUGACAUGUAGGCAAGGGAUUUCAUUUUGAAAUGUAAGUCAGUUGGUUCACUACUAUAAUGAUUCAGUCUUUAAACAAUAAAAUGUUGUCUUGAAAUAGAGCAAGUGUAGCCAUUAAUUUUUUACUGGGGUGAACUGUAUUCCCUUGUAGUACAACGGGAUCUCUCUGUGACCUGCCAUGGUGCAGGAGGGAUGCAGUGUUCUGAGCAGUGACAUCUCCCACAGAGUCACUUUUAGCUCAUUGGCUAGAGAUUUCCACUUUUCAUCCUGAUCAAAAUUUAUGGGGAAAUAAAAAGUACAGAAAAUAUCAAACCCAGCUCUGAGAUAAUGAUUUCCAGCUAAUGGAACAUUUUCAUUUCGUAAUAUCUGAACUUUAUUUUCAAUGUUAAAUAAAGAUGUUUUUAUAUUAAAAUUCAUUUAUGGUAUUUAUUUGUGCAGUGUACCUCCAUCUUAGAGAAAUUUCCUAUUAUUUUCUGAGGGACAGCCUCUUAAUUUCAGAAUUUUUCUGAAUCGUUUUGUACUUUUAUAGAAAUAUCCAAAAAAGCGAUGAUUUACAGCAAACACCUCUGAAAUGUCAAAAUUAAUAUCUAGUAACUUAUUCCUUCAAUAAUCUUUGGAUUCUUAGAUUCUUAGAUUGAGAUGUUAGUUAACUGUUGCUGCAAUAAUACUGCAUAAUGGAUUUCCAAAACCUGAGGGCCGUUCAGGAAGCAUUUGUUUCUUCCUCACAGAUUCAUUGGGAUUGGCUGGGGUUUGGCUGAUCUCAGCUGCCUCUAACUGCAGUUGGCUUUAAGUUGCAAGAUAGGACUAGGUCCACUGAACCUUUCUUUCAGAUUUCUUGACCAAGAGCUUUGUGAACCAUCAUUUUUUUUUAUGAAAAGAAAAAAAAGAGUAAGUAGAUCAAAGCACAAUCCAGCAAGAAACUCUGCUCUUGUACACUUGUCAGAGAAAGUCAGAUGGCAAAGUCUAACAUCAACAAGGAAAGAAAAUAUGCUUUAAUUCUUGAGGGAGAGUCUACAAAUUCACACUGUAGAUGACAUAAAUAUGGGAAAGUGAAGAACUGGGAGCAGUAGUGUCAUCUGCUGCGCCCCACAUUCUAAAUCACAGUUAUUCACAUACAGAAAACACCUCAGUCCUAACAAACUACUUUCCACAUACUUCCUAGAAUCAUCAUUGAUUUAUGGAAUCAUAUUUGAACUCUAGGAUCUUAAGAUUUAUGCCAGUCUAACUCUUGAUUUGGAGACACAUGAAUUUAAAAGAGACCUUACCUAAUCCUACCCUGCCCCCGCACACACUCCUAACCUGUAAUUGUGGGUGUUAGUGCUAUGUGACUCUCAUUGUCCCCUUUAUGUAUAGGAUGUAUAUUAUCAUUAUUCUAUGAAUGCUUUAUUCAAAAGGCAGGAGAAUAGUGAGAGGCCCUGGUCCACAGCUAGUCUAAAAAUCCCACUGGACAAAUGUUCCCAGGUCCCUCUGCCUAAGAAGAAAUGUUCUUUGAUUAGGUAAUGAUCCUGCUCCCUAGGCAUGAGCUGUUGAGGAAGAGAGGUUGUAUCAGUGGUUGCCUUCAUAAAUAGUAUCCCCAGGCAUAUAGAGAUAGCUUCUUUAUCUUCAACAUUGUCAAUGUUAUGUUAACACGCGUUUUUAGAAUUUUGCCAAUUUCCUAAGUGUAAAUGAAAUUGUGUUUCUUUUUAGUGUUACUAUCAUCAUCAUCAUCAUCCAAUAGACAGACACACCAAGAAUCCACUGUUUCACUCCCUAGCUGUCCACAGUGGCCCUGGGCAGAGUUACAACUCAACCUGGUCUUUCAUGUGAAUGAUAGGAAUCCAACUACUUGGGCCAUCACUUGCUGCCUCCCAGGGUCAGCAUUAGUAGGAAGCUGAAAUCAGGAGUGGAGCUGGGACCUGGGCAUCUUAACUGCCAUCAACCUGUAGAGCAGACACCUGCCAUGUAAAUAUUGUAUUAUGAAUGAGGGAUAACUUUUUUCAUGUAUAAGAGCUAUUUACACUUUUUUAAAGAAGGAAAUUAACUUUCUUUCACUGAGCUAGGUCCUAUAGGGUUGUUGCUUUUGUCUUACUGCUUCAGUAGACAUUAGGUAAGUAAAUAUUUUGUAGAAGCUGGAUACAUUCCAAAUAAAUUAGUUCUUUUUAUUUAUUUAUUUAUUUGACAGGCAGAGUGGACGGUGAGAGAGAGAGACAGAGAGAAAGAUCUUCCUUUUGCCGUUGGUUCACCCUCUAAUGGCCGCCGCAGCUGGUGCACUGCGGCCGGCGCACCGCGCUGAUCCGAUGGCAGGAGCCAGGUACUUAUCCUGGUCUCCCAUGAGGUGCAGGGCCCAAGCACUUGGGCCAUCCUCCACUGCACUCCCUGGCCACAGCAGAGAGCUGGCUUUGAAGAGGGGCAACCGGGACAGAAUCCGGCGCCCCAACCGGGACUAGAACCCGGUGUGCAGGCGCCGCAAGGCGGAGGAUUAGCCUAUUGAGCUGCGGCGCAGGCCUCCAAAUAAAUUAUUUCUUGCUAGGUUAAUUGAAUUUAAAUAUUUUCAUAUUAUUGAGUUUGCUGAUAGUUUAAAAAGUGGUUUAUAAUUUUAUUUUUCUUUAAUAUGUUAACGAAUUUAUCAAUUUUUAUUUUAUGGUUUCUAGAUUUUAUGUUAUAGAAAGAUUUCUCCCAACUUCAGGGUUAUAAAAAGAGUUUUGUAUUUUCUUGUAGUAUUUUUAUUAUUUCAUCUUGUUAUAAUUAAGCACUGAUCCUUUCAGAAUUUGUUCUGGUGUAUUUGUGAAAUAGGGAUUAUCUUUUUUUAUAUAUGGCUACCCCAUAUUUCAACAUCAUUUAUUAUAUAAUUGAUCUUUUCCCCACAGUUAUGAAAAGGUACUUUGUCAUAGGCCAAAAUUCUCUUUAUUUUUGUGUUUCUGAACUCUAUGUAUUUUCUUUAAACUUACAUUUCUGUAAUUACUAAGUCUUUAUGGUAUUUUGUUACAUUGUAGAGUUACUCAUUCCUCAUUACUCUUUUUUCCCCCCCAAGUUUUCCCAGCUGCUCUUCUUUAUCUAAAUUUUCAUAUAAAUUGUAAAAUGACCUUAUUUGAUUCUGAGGGAAAGAAAGGUGCUGACUUUCAGAGUGUCAUUGCAUUUACAAAUUAGCUGUGAGAAGAUGAAUGCCUUUAUGGUAAGUUCUCCUAUCCAGGCUCAUGGAAUAUAUUUCUAUUUGUUCAAUUUGUAUUUCAUAUCCAUAAGACACAUUUUAAAAAGUCUUAUUGAUGUGGUUUUUAUGCAUUUCUCCUUAAAUGCCUUUCUUUCUGAUUCUACUUACAGUUUAGCAUAUGUGAUAAGAGGAAAAACUUGAUAGUUUUAACCCUGGCUCUGUCUCUAGAUUCCUGUAGGACUAGAAGAAACAGACAGAAAAUGUUGUAGAAUGUAGAUGAAAGUUUUAAGUGAAAAUGAGGGCACAGGUGGGUGGGGAAGUACACUGAUGGUAACUAGCUUUUGUCAUCCUAUCCAAUAACAGCCACCAGAUUUGUCUGGCACACCGAAUGAGCAAAGCACAAUGUACAUCUUGGAAGGCAGAACAGUUGUCAUUUGGAUGCAAAGAAAUAAGUGGAUCCAAGAAUUUUUUAUCAGUUCGGCUUGGCUGUGUGUAAUAGCUGUCCCAAAUAGCAACCCCUUCAACACAAUAGAGAUUUAUUUUUCUCUCAUGUAAAUGAGUUCUGGGUUUAGGUGCUCCAACAUCGGUAUGGUAUUUCUAUAAACAUCUAUGAUCCAGUCUCCUUAUUUCUUUUUUCCACUACUAUCCUUCAUGCGUGAUUCCAUUCUCAACUUUGCCUCAUGGUUCAGUUGUCUGCCUGAGCUCGUGCUAGCAUGUCCAUUUCAGGGAUGACAAAGAAAGAGGAACAGGGUAAAAAUGUGUGUGCCCUCAAAUUAAGCCUAUCUGCUUCAAAUACCUUUUCAGAAGUCCCAUUCUUUUUCACUCAUCCCGACGUUAAUUGUGCCAGUGGCUUCUCACAGCAAUAUAGAGAUUCUAUUACUAGGAGACAACUUCUUGUCCCUGCUACAGGAAAUGAACACACUUUUUGAAUUUCCCUACAAGGAAUAUUGAAAAAGGAAAAAGAAAAUACUAUUGGGCAAACUUUGAUUAUUUUUCAGCUUUUAGGAUAACUUAAGGCAAUUUGGUAUACAGAAAAGCCUAAACAGGUCAUCAUUGCUUUGGUCUUGUACUUUUUUAGCUCUAAUACGCUUUCAAGAGUAAUUGAACCACAUGUUAUCUUUUUCUUCUUUAGAAUGGGGGAACCUCAGUAAAGGGUAAAACAGUCCUUGAAGAGGACAGUUUUUACAGGGGUCACAAAGAUGGCCAAAAAUAGACCCUGCCUUGAGUAAUACACAACCUAGUACAUGAGGUAAAUAGAGACUUCCAGUGUGGGGUGCUGAGUGAUUUUACAGGAGUGUUGGGUGAGAGGGAAUACAUUCUAGAGAGAUGAGCAGCAUCAGAAGGUGAAACUGAACUGAGUCUUGAAGGAGAAGUUGCAGAAUAAA
This is a non-coding RNA of Oryctolagus cuniculus (rabbit), 41515 nucleotides long. The record is from RefSeq and is a predicted model, not a curated record. NCBI's taxonomy places the organism in Eukaryota, Metazoa, Chordata, Mammalia, Lagomorpha, Leporidae.